ACCCGGGAUAAAAAAAAAUGGUAAACCUUGCUUGUCCCCUUGGAACCCAUAGUCAGUGACUAUUGAAACUGAAACCUCAAAGCACCAAAAAGGAAAUGGCUGUUUCAUCCUCUCUAAUUCUCUCUCCAUUACACUUCAACUUCAUCGCUAACAACAAAGACAUCAACAAAAACCUCUCUUUUCUAUCUGCAAAUCCUCUUAUCUUCAACAUCUCCUCCAAACCCACCAACAUCAAUAAGGGCUCCUCCAUUGUCCUCUGUUCUUACAAAUCUGGAAGUGGUUUGACAGCUGAAGACAAGCGAGUUUUGCGUGAAAGAUAUGGUUUUGAUCCCAAUGAGUACAUCUCUGAGGCAAAGAAUGAAAGGAUAAAGGAAGGGAAAAAGCAAGGAAAAGGAAAGGAAGUAGUAGCAGAGGAGGAAGCUAAGGUCCAUAGAACCACUCAUAAGUUGCUUCAGGUUCUCGGAGGAAAGGCUAAAAGAAAGAAGUUGCUCUCACCUAAAGGCAUGGAUGUUAGACCAAUGAUGGAAGUUGUAAAAGGUGCUGCCUUUGAUAUACUGCAGGCAGCUGAUGGCUGUCCUGCCUCUUUACGCCCGGGUCGCUGGUUAGACCUUUACAGUGGUACAGGCUCUGUCGGUAUUGAAGCUAUCAGCCGAGGAUGUUCUGAGGCGCAUUUUGUUGAGAUGGAUCCUUGGGUUGUUUCAAAUGUUCUGCGACCAAACCUGGAAUGGACUGGAUUUCUUGAUGCCUCAGUUAUACAUCCUGUUCGUGUCGAAACUUUCUUAGAACAGGCAGACCGAUUUGCAGGUAAUGGACCAUUUGAUUACAUUAGUGUAACACCUCCAUACACACAAGUUGAUUAUGGAAUGCUAAUGUCUCAAAUUUCGAAGUCACCUCUUGUUGGAGAAAACACCUUUAUUGUAGUGGAAUAUCCUUUGAGGACGGACAUGCUGGAUUCCUGUGGAUGCCUUGUAAAGAUCAAGGAUAGAAGAUUUGGUCGGACACAUUUAGCAAUAUAUGGACCCAAAUGGGCACAGAAGAAAAGAAAAUCUGACAAGACCCUUCAAAAUACAACAUAGAAAGUUUAGCUACCAGUUUACUAGUCAAAGGUGGAAUGUCUUUCAAUUAUCUCCAAGUUUUGCCAUCAUCAAGAUAUAUCUGAGUGUUCAAGUUUUCCAUUAAAAAGCAGAUUCAAAGCAUCUCAACUUACCCUACAUGUACUUUUUCAAUGCUGAGGAGCUUUGGUUAAAGCACAUAUUAUUUUUGAACCUAGAAUCUGUUGGUCUCUCCAGCAUGGAUCCCCAUAAAGAGAAGCCAUUUUUUAUUCAACAGUGAAAGUGUGGUCCACUAUAUUGCUCCCACUUUUCAUUUUGUCUGAAAUAUUUGUGUCCAACACGUCUUCGAGUGUAAGAAUGUAAGUUAUAACUUUUCAAGAUGCAUGAAAGAAUUGAACAUACCUGUAUUAAACUUAUUAUUUUAUUCAAUACUUACACCCAGCUUGAAAA
RNA transcript from Gossypium raimondii (Peruvian cotton), 1502 nucleotides. RefSeq lists it as uncharacterized. NCBI's taxonomy places the organism in Eukaryota, Viridiplantae, Streptophyta, Magnoliopsida, Malvales, Malvaceae. The transcript is spliced from 10 exons. The record is from RefSeq and is a predicted model, not a curated record.